Molecule: ribosomal RNA, 468 nt
Filed under: uncultured bacterium
Lineage: Bacteria
Description: partial 16S ribosomal RNA
Rfam family: Bacterial small subunit ribosomal RNA
Source: RNAcentral
GACGAACGCUGGCGGCGUGCUUAACACAUGCAAGUCGAACGGGAAGGCCCUGCUUUUGUGGGGUGCUCUAGUUGCCAACGGGUGAGUAACACGUGAGUAACCUGCCCUUGACUUUGGGAUAACUUCAGGAAACUUGGGCUAAUACCGGAUAGGAGCUCCUGCUGCAUGGUGGGGGUUGGAAAGUUUCGGCGGUUGGGGAUGGACUCGCGGCUUAUCAGCUUGUUGGUUUGGUAGUGUCUUACCAAGGCCUUGACGGGUGGCAGGGCUGCGAGGGUGACCGGACAAACUAGGAUGGAGCUGAGGCACAGCCUAGUACGGGAGGCAGCAGAGGAGUAUAUUAUACUAUAGGAGGAGGGAUGGCGUGAUACAGCAGCGCGGGGGAUGAGAUGAAGGGGUUAGUAAUGUGAAGCCGUCUGAGACGAGACGUUAGUGACGGUAACGGGUGAAGAAGCACCGGCUAACUACGUG